This 419-nucleotide ribosomal RNA is filed under the name Chloroflexota bacterium. RNAcentral's name for it is "Chloroflexi bacterium partial 16S ribosomal RNA". It matches the Rfam family "Bacterial small subunit ribosomal RNA", at positions 355 to 776 of the family's 1533-position model. Lineage: Bacteria; Bacillati; Chloroflexota. The record is from RNAcentral.
UGGGGGAUAUUGCACAAUGGGCGAAAGCCUGAUGCAGCGACGCCGCGUGGGGGAUGAAGGCCUUCGGGUUGUAAACUUCUUUUGCUCUGAACAAGGCGCACCAUGGGGUGUGUUGAGUGUAGGGGUUGAUUAGCGCCGGCUAACUACGUGCCAGCAGCCGCGGUAAUACGUAGGGCGCGAGCGUUGUCCGGAAUUAUUGGGCGUAAAGGGCUUGUAGGUGGCUGGUUGCGUCUGUCGUGAAAGCUCAUGGCUUAACUGUGGGUUUGCGGUGGGUACGGGCUGGCUUGAGUGCAGUAGGGGAGGCUGGAAUUCCUGGUGUAGCGGUGGAAUGCGCAGAUAUCAGGAGGAAUACCGGUGGCGAAGGCGGGUCUCUGGGCUGUUACUGACACUGAGGAGCGAAAGCAUGGGGAGCAAACAGG